This 84-nucleotide transfer RNA is filed under the name Flavobacteriaceae bacterium. Its description in RNAcentral is "tRNA-Ser". It matches the Rfam family "tRNA". From Rfam's summary of the family: Transfer RNA (tRNA) molecules are approximately 80 nucleotides in length. Their secondary structure includes four short double-helical elements and three loops (D, anti-codon, and T loops). Further hydrogen bonds mediate the characteristic L-shaped molecular structure. tRNAs have two regions of fundamental functional importance: the anti-codon, which is responsible for specific mRNA codon recognition, and the 3' end, to which the tRNAs corresponding amino acid is attached (by aminoacyl-tRNA synthetases). tRNAs cope with the degeneracy of the genetic code in two manners: having more than one tRNA (with a specific anti-codon) for a particular amino acid; and 'wobble' base-pairing, i.e. permitting non-standard base-pairing at the 3rd anti-codon position. The record is from RNAcentral. Lineage: Bacteria; Pseudomonadati; Bacteroidota; Flavobacteriia; Flavobacteriales; Flavobacteriaceae. RNAcentral also lists the same sequence under 1 other name.
GGAGAGGUGCCAGAGUGGUAAUGGAGCAGAUUGCUAAUCUGUCGACGCGUUUGUGUCGCCCGGGUUCGAAUCCCGGUCUCUCCG